This 396-nucleotide ribosomal RNA is filed under the name uncultured bacterium. RNAcentral's name for it is "partial 16S ribosomal RNA". It matches the Rfam family "Bacterial small subunit ribosomal RNA", at positions 523 to 918 of the family's 1533-position model. The record is from RNAcentral.
AUACGUAGGGGGCAAGCGUUAUCCGGAUUUACUGGGUGUAAAGGGAGCGUAGGCGGUUAUGCAAGUCAGUCUUAAAAGUUCGAGGCUUAACCUCGUGAUGGGAUUGAAACUGUGUAACUGGAGUAUCGGAGAGGAAAGUGGAAUUCCUAGUGUAGCGGUGAAAUGCGUAGAGAUUAGGAAGAACACCGGUGGCGAAGGCGACUUUCUGGACGAAGACUGACGCUGAGGCGCGAAAGCGUGGGGAGCAAACAGGAUUAGAUACCCUGGUAGUCCACGCUGUAAACGAUGGGUACUAGGUGUAGGAGGUAUCGACCCCUUCUGUGCCGGAGUUAACGCAAUAAGUACCCCGCCUGGGGACUACGGUCGCAAGACUAAAACUCAAAUGAAUUGACGGGG